This 429-nucleotide ribosomal RNA is filed under the name uncultured archaeon. Its description in RNAcentral is "bacterial SSU rRNA". It matches the Rfam family "Archaeal small subunit ribosomal RNA", at positions 474 to 903 of the family's 1478-position model. The record is from RNAcentral.
UACCAGCUCUCCGAGUGGUAGGGAUGAUUAUUGGGCUUAAAGCGUCCGUAGCCGGCUUAGCAAGUCUCCUGUUAAAUUCAGCGACCUAAUCGUUGAGCCGCGGGAGAUACUACUAGGCUAGGAGGCGGGAGAGGUCAACGGUACUUCCGGGGUAGGGGUGAAAUCCUAUAAUCCCGGGAGGACCACCAGUGGCGAAGGCUGUUGACUAGAACGCGCUCGACGGUGAGGGACGAAAGCUGGGGGAGCGAACCGGAUUAGAUACCCGGGUAGUCCCAGCUGUAAACGAUGCGAGCUAGGUGUUGGGGUGGCUACGUGCCACUUCAGUGCCGCAGGGGGAGCCAUUAAGCUCGCCGCCUGGGGAGUACGGCCGCAAGGCUGAAACUUAAAGGAAUUGGCGGGGAGCACCACAAGGCGUGAAGCUUGCGGUUC